UCUUCAGUACGCUCCAGUAUACGAACUCUGGACAUAAAACGUGAUACUGUGGCUUGUAUAGAACCAGAAGAUCUAUAGGCUCAUUAAGAAAAAGAAGACUGUAGGCACGUUGACAAAGUCAUGAUAGAUAAGGCAGAACAGGGAAACAUCAUAAACGAGGUAACUAACGCUAUCGAGGACAAAGGAAGCAUCGAGUGUUUCUCAGGCACGUACACCCAGUAGACAAUUAUAUCCCUCGGAAAAUUUCUCAACUGAGAAGUGACUAUCAUUCUUCAUACUCGCAGUCCUUUGAAAAAUUUCUCAACUGAAAUGUGACUACUUUUCUUAAAAUUCACAGUCCGCCUACACACUCAUGAUUAAUGUAACGACUAGAGUUUAUGUCCGCUUAGAACUAUAUUUGACAUAAAGGUGAAUUAACAAAAGUUUUUGGAAGUUUUAAAUAAACAUUAAGUUUAAAUACAUAAAUACAGCGAAUGUGCAAGCAAUUUUGUCUACAGCAUGCAGAAUAUGAUGAGUUGUAAAAACAUUGUUUAUAUUUUAAUGUUUCACUAAAAUAUAGCAUAAAAGUGAUAAUAUAAUUAUAUUAUUGUAAAAUUUAUUAUGUUAUAUUUAAAUAUUGUUUAAUAUGAUGAAUUAUUUGUGUGAUUGUUUAUUUCUAUGUCUUUUCUCUCAUAUCUCUAGGAAAGACGGAAUAGGAUCUUGGCGUGGAGUGCAAGAAAGACAAAUAUUAUUUACUUAAAGGAGCAACUCAGGAGACUAAUAUUAUGCCAUUUCAGAUAAGUUUUCUUUUUUUUUUAAAGUUUCUUGGAUUGCAUUAAAUAAAAAACAAUUGCUUUGUGGACUUUUAUUGUAUUUUUCAGAUGUAUCUGAAGUGAAUUUAUUACAACGAACAUUAAAUUAAUUCAAAAUGGACAGAUCUUGUAUAUGAACUUUUUCUAGAUUGGCAGAGAUUGAAGUAAAAGUCGAUUACAGAAUAACAGAUCUGCUACCAUGAGAAAAGGAUGGCAAAUGUGAAAUAAAAUGUGCUGCUGCUCGUGAAAAGUAAGGAAAUUUUUGUUCAUCCGAGAGGCUGAUAAGUUGGAACAUGCUAACGAUAAUGUAUAAACUACAUCAUCGAGGAAGAAUCUCUGGUAAACAAAUUUGUGUUGGUAUCCAAAGAUAAGGGAAGUUUGAACUGUACUGCGUCUUUUGUUGCCGGUGUUGUAAAGGCUUUGCGGCUGUAAAUUUGUAAAUGACUUCAAUUAUUUAUUUCUUAAAAUAAUUUAUUGAUCAAUUAUUAAUUUUUUGCACAUUUUUAUGUUUGUAUAUUUUAUGAGACAAAAUUUGUUAAAAACGUUUUAAAUGUUAUAGCCCACUAAGGUAACAUUGGCUUAAAGGAAUCAUGUGUGAUUAAAAUUAAUGACAUCGUUGUUACAUGCGACAAGCCGUUGAAAAAUCGGUAAGAUAAUAGAAAUAUUAUAUAUCUUCUCUUUCUGUAAAGAGAAAGUAUAUAAUAUUUAUAGACAUAGUUUAUCAAUUAGUGUCACAAAUCUAAAAUUUCCAAUUAUGUUAAAUUUAUAUUUUAUAUGUUUAUAUUUUAUAUAGGUAAAUAUAACAAAAACACAAUAUAAAUAUAAUAUAAAAUAUUUUUAAUAUUUGUAAACUUUUUGUGUAACUAUCUUAGGUCGCUCUCAGAUUUUUCUCUAUCGUGAGAUUCGCAGCUGAGUGUAUCCCACUGAUAAAUGUCGAUCAUUUGACAUCGUUUUCAAAAUUGCGCAAAAACUGAGGUUAAGAAUGUUCGUUAGAUAAAACGGUAUCCGUUUUAGUGGUAUCAAAUGUAAAAAUCUGGUAUUUAUGAGUGACACAAAAUUAGCUACACAGCAUUUUAGCUGUGUACGAUUUGUGUCGACUUGUAUCAUGAAAAGCAACGGAUUGUACACUGCAGUGUUACACACAGUGUCAACUUGUGUCGUAAAUAAAAAGCACCCAAUGUGCAGUACUGUACAAAAGGCUUAUAACUUAUCUUUAAUCUAAUGCUGAUGCUCUGUAGCAGUAUUUAACAAUUAGCCCAGCAUUUUUGUUGUCCACUUGGCCUUCGUAUAGGAUUCAUUGCCUUACAAUAGACAACGGAGAUAGACCAAUAAGUAAUACAUAAAUAAUAUUCUUCAUUCGUGUAAUGAAGAUAAUUAUUUAGAAUACAGAUCUAGAAUACGGUUUUUGUGCUAGAUUCUGUUGUUUUGUACCAAAACACAUGGAAUGAGUAUAUUUUUAUUAAGUAUAUUUUUAUUUGAGGCAAAAUCUGUAUUCUAAAUAAUUAUCAUUCUUGUCUAGCAUUAAUUAUUAUCUUCAAGGAAUUAAAAAUCUUACUCUUCACAUGCUUGAAUAAAGAAUUUUAUGUUAAAAUCGGCGUAUUGUUUAAAGUUGUAUAAAUAAGUUAGGAUGUGUAAAGAACAAAUUUCUAUUAUAUAUUAUAUAUUUUUUUGUACGUAUACAAAACACUCAAUAUUAUGUAUAAAUUAAUAGAUAUGCUAAAGCAUACCAGUGAGAAAUGACAGGUUAAAAAAACGUCUAAUCAACGUUUAAUAAACCAAUUGAUACAGACGUUUAAAAUUUGGCCGAUUAGACGUCUUUGUGUCAUCAAAAUUGAACGACUAUUAGACGUUUUACAAAAACUCUUUAUAAAUAUUUUCUUUGAAAUAUCCAUAACUAUUAUAUUAUUGCACCACAUGAUCUCAAUGAACAAACCAAUGUUUUUGUAAUAUUUUAAAAAACAUUUUUCGUAAAAAAAAUUGUUUUCAUGGUAUUUGUUUUCAGAAAUUCCCGAGCGACCACCCAUCCAAGUCGCAACUCCGGUGAACGUUGCUUGACUUCCGUGAUUACUGCGAACUGAUCCCUCAUGAUGAUCUGUAAAUACUUUGUAGUCAUAUGUGUAAAUAACUGGUAGAUCAGAUCAAUAUAUGUUAUCGAAAAGAUGAAACAUGUAUAAUUAAAGGAUAUUACUUAUAAAAAGAUAUAUAAAA
Long non-coding RNA from Solenopsis invicta (red fire ant), 2999 nucleotides. RefSeq lists it as uncharacterized. The transcript has 2 exons. NCBI's taxonomy places the organism in Eukaryota, Metazoa, Arthropoda, Insecta, Hymenoptera, Formicidae. The record is from RefSeq and is a predicted model, not a curated record.